Molecule: ribosomal RNA, 458 nt
Filed under: uncultured bacterium
Lineage: Bacteria
Description: partial 16S ribosomal RNA
Rfam family: Bacterial small subunit ribosomal RNA
Source: RNAcentral
CCUACGGGAGGCAGCAGUGGGGAAUAUUGCACAAUGGGGGAAACCCUGAUGCAGCGACGCCGCGUGAGUGAAGAAGUAUUUCGGUAUGUAAAGCUCUAUCAGCAGGGAAGAAAUAGCGACCUUUGGGUCGCCAGACGGUACCUGAUUAAGAAGCCCCGGCUAACUACGUGCCAGCAGCCGCGGUAAUACGUAGGGGGCAAGCGUUAUCCGGAUUUACUGGGUGGAAAGGGAGCGUAGCCUGCAGCGCAAGUCUGAAGGGAAAUGCCGGGGCUUAACCCCGGAACUGCUUUGGAAACUGUUCAGCUAGAGUGCAGGAGAGGUAAGUGGAAGUCCUAGUGUAGCGGUGAAAUGCGUAGAUAUUAGGAGGAACACCAGUGGCGAAGGCGGCUUACUGGACUGUAACUGACGUUGAGGCUCGAAAGCGUGGGGAGCAAACAGGAUUAGAUACCCCAGUAGUC